RNAcentral lists this ribosomal RNA (482 nucleotides) under uncultured bacterium. RNAcentral's name for it is "bacterial SSU rRNA". It matches the Rfam family "Bacterial small subunit ribosomal RNA", at positions 29 to 506 of the family's 1533-position model. The record is from RNAcentral.
UUGAACGCUGGCGGAAUGCUUUACACAUGCAAGUCGAGCGGCAGCGCGGGGGCAACCCUGGCGGCGAGCGGCGAACGGGUGAGUAAUACAUCGGAACGUACCCAGUUGUGGGGGAUAGCCCGGCGAAAGCCGGAUUAAUACCGCAUAAGUCCUGAGGGAGAAAGCGGGGGACCGUAAGGCCUCGCGCGAUUGGAGCGGCCGAUGUUCGAUUAGCUAGUUGGUGGGGUAAAGGCCUACCAAGGCGACGAUCGAUAGCUGGUCUGAGAGGACGACCAGCCACACUGGAACUGAGACACGGUCCAGACUCCUACGGGAGGCAGCAGUGGGGAAUUUUGGACAAUGGGGGCAACCCUGAUCCAGCCAUUCCGCGUGAGUGAAGAAGGCCUUCGGGUUGUAAAGCUCUUUCAGACGGAAAGAAAUCGGGCGCGUGAAUAGCGUGCCUGGAUGACGGUACUGUCAGAAGAAGCACCGGCUAACUACGU